RNAcentral lists this ribosomal RNA (492 nucleotides) under uncultured bacterium. RNAcentral's name for it is "partial 16S ribosomal RNA". It matches the Rfam family "Bacterial small subunit ribosomal RNA", at positions 29 to 507 of the family's 1533-position model. The record is from RNAcentral.
AGUGAACGCUGGCGGUAGGCCUAACACAUGCAAGUCGAACGGCAGCACAGUAAGAGCUUGCUCUUACGGGUGGCGAGUGGCGGACGGGUGAGGAAUACAUCGGAAUCUACUUUUUCGUGGGGGAUAACGUAGGGAAACUUACGCUAAUACCGCAUACGACCUACGGGUGAAAGCAGGGGAUCUUCGGACCUUGCGCGAUUGAAUGAGCCGAUGUCGGAUUAGCUAGUUGGCGGGGUAAAGGCCCACCAAGGCGACGAUCCGUAGCUGGUCUGAGAGGAGGAUCAGCCACACUGGAACUGAGACACGGUCCAGACUCCUACGGGAGGCAGCAGUGGGGAAUAUUGGACAAUGGGCGGAAGCCUGAUCCAGCCAUACCGCGUGGGUGGAGAAGGCCUUCGGGUUGUAAAGCCCUUCUGUUGGGAAAGAAAAGCAGCAGGUUAAUACCCCGCUGUUCUGACGGUACCCAAAGAAUAAGCACCGGCUAACUUCGUG